UUAUGUGAUCGUCUCUCGCAUAUCAAUAAGCGGAGGAAAAGAAACUAACAAGGAUUCCCCUAGUAACGGCGAGUGAAGCGGGAAGAGCUCAAAUUUGAAAUCUUAAAGGGUUUCCCUUUACGAAUUGUAGUUUAAAGAAGUGUUUUCUGUUGAGGUUUUGGUAAAAGUUCUUUGGAAUAGGACAUCAUAGAGGGUGAGAAUCCCGUAUUUGACCUUUACUUUCAACUUUGUGAUACACUUUCAAAGAGUCGGAUUGUUUGGGAAUGCAGUCCAAAAUGGGUGGUAAAUUUCAUCUAAAGCUAAAUAUUGGCGAGAGACCGAUAGCGAACAAGUACCGUGAGGGAAAGAUGAAAAGAACUUUGAAAAGAGAGUCAAACAGUACGUGAAAUUGUCAAAAGGGAAGCGUUUGACACCAGUGUUGUUUUUCUGAAAAUCAAUUAAAGAACUGUUUAUGCUAAGCUGUUUAGACUUUAUCAGCUAACUGUUUAGUUUUGAGCUUUUCUUUAAUGCACUUUUCAGUUAACAAGUCAACAUCAAUUUCUUUUGCUGUAAAAAAGCUUGAGGAAGGUGGCUUGAGAUUCGUCUUAAGUGUUUAUAGCCUCUUGCCUAUGCAGUCGGAGAGAUUGAGGUCUGCAGCGUAGAUCCUUCGGGGCUAAAUGCAUUUGUGCUAAGUUAUAGCAUUUUAUAGACAACUUGUUGACUAUGAUUUGUCUUGUAGCUUACUCGCUUAUGUUAUUUUACCUACGCUUAGGAUGUUGAGUAGCGACAUACGCAC
This 775-nucleotide ribosomal RNA is filed under the name uncultured Neocallimastigales. RNAcentral's name for it is "partial large subunit ribosomal RNA". It matches the Rfam family "Eukaryotic large subunit ribosomal RNA", at positions 24 to 649 of the family's 3401-position model. The record is from RNAcentral. Lineage: Eukaryota; Fungi; Neocallimastigomycota; Neocallimastigomycetes; Neocallimastigales.